Molecule: transfer RNA, 88 nt
Filed under: Candidatus Portiera sp.
Lineage: Bacteria; Pseudomonadati; Pseudomonadota; Gammaproteobacteria; Johnevansiales (SeqCode); Johnevansiaceae (SeqCode)
Description: tRNA-Ser
Rfam family: tRNA
About the family: Transfer RNA (tRNA) molecules are approximately 80 nucleotides in length. Their secondary structure includes four short double-helical elements and three loops (D, anti-codon, and T loops).
Source: RNAcentral
GGAGAGGUGGCAGAGUGGUCGAAUGCGGCGGUCUUGAAAACCGUUGACUUGCAAAGGUCCGGGGGUUCGAAUCCCUCCCUCUCCGCCA